This 253-nucleotide ribosomal RNA is filed under the name uncultured bacterium. RNAcentral describes it as "partial 16S ribosomal RNA". It matches the Rfam family "Bacterial small subunit ribosomal RNA", at positions 524 to 776 of the family's 1533-position model. The record is from RNAcentral.
UACGGGGGGGGCAAGCGUUGUUCGGAAUUACUGGGCGUAAAGGGCUCGUAGGCGGCCCUCUCAGUCGGAUGUGAAAUCCCCAGGCUUAACCUGGGAAUGGCAUCCGAUACUGGAGGGCUUGAAUUCGGGAGAGGGAUGCAGAAUUCCAGGUGUAGCGGUGAAAUUCGUAGAUAUCGGGAGGAACACCGGUGGCGAAGGCGGCGACCUGGGUCGAUACUGACGCUGAGGUGCGAAAGCGUGGGGAGCAAACAGG